AAUUUUUUCCCCCUAGGUGGAAGGAAAAAGGCACUUAUGUUGCAGGUUACAGAAAUUACUGGGAGAGGAUAUUGUCAUAAAAAGAGCCAGGCCAAAUUGGAAUAUUUUUGUGAUCUGCAUCAUGAUGCUGAAAAUAGCGAUUAUUUGGGAAUUGGGUUUGAAAACUGAAUUGUUGCCAGAGAAUUAAACCAGGUGAAAGGUCCUUUUGAAUUCAGAUUGUCUUCUGAACAUCCAGGCUGAUCAUCUGAGAGCAGUCAAAUCUACUUCCCCAAAAAGAGACCAGGCCUAGUAUCAGAAGGCCAGGCGAGACUGCAACACUGCUCAUCACCCCGCGGCGUGAUCCCUGCUCUUAGGUGCUGGGCAGAGGGGAAGGGUGGUCAGGGUGAGGAUGGUGAGGGAGGGCUGGUGAGGGGCUCAGAGGAAUACUCGGAACAACAGCAGUGUUAUUGUAGUGUGGCAGUUUCUUUUAUACAUAGGUGAGAGUUUUUAAAGUGUAAGGGAAAAAUUAAUUUUUUAAAAAACACCAUGCUUGGAGGGUGGGGGUAGAAAUAGACACAAUAUUAUUUCUAAGGAAUCGGGUUUUCAUUUACUCUGGACUG
Molecule: small RNA, 599 nt
Filed under: Pan troglodytes (chimpanzee)
Lineage: Eukaryota; Metazoa; Chordata; Mammalia; Primates; Hominidae
Description: retained intron
Source: RNAcentral